GUCUAGUCGCUGGGAAUAGACCCGAAACCGGGCGAUCUAUCCAUGGGCAGGUUGAAGGUUAGGUAACACUGACUGGAGGACCGAACCGACUACCGUUGAAAAGUUAGCGGAUGACCUGUGGAUCGGAGUGAAAGGCUAAUCAAGCUCGGAGAUAGCUGGUUCUCCUCGAAAGCUAUUUAGGUAGCGCCUCAUGUAUCACUGUAGGGGGUAGAGCACUGUUUCGGCUAGGGGGUCAUCCCGACUUACCAAACCGAUGCAAACUCCGAAUACCUACAAGUGCCGAGCAUGGGAGACACACGGCGGGUGCUA
RNAcentral lists this ribosomal RNA (309 nucleotides) under Bacillus cereus. RNAcentral describes it as "bacterial LSU rRNA". It matches the Rfam family "Bacterial large subunit ribosomal RNA", at positions 694 to 1000 of the family's 2925-position model. The record is from RNAcentral. Lineage: Bacteria; Bacillati; Bacillota; Bacilli; Caryophanales; Bacillaceae.